CAGCCGCCGCGGGAAUACAGAGGGUGCAAGCGUUAAUCGGAAUUACUGGGCGUAAAGCGCGCGUAGGUGGUUUGUUAAGUUGGAUGUGAAAUCCCCGGGCUCAACCUGGGAACUGCAUCCAAAACUGGCAAGCUAGAGUAUGGUAGAGGGUGGUGGAAUUUCCUGUGUAGCGGUGAAAUGCGUAGAUAUAGGAAGGAACACCAGUGGCGAAGGCGACCACCUGGACCGAUACUGACACUGAGGUGCGAAAGCGUGGGGAGCAAACAGGAUUAGAUACCCCUGUAGUCCCUGUCUCUUAUAC
Molecule: ribosomal RNA, 301 nt
Filed under: uncultured bacterium
Lineage: Bacteria
Description: partial 16S ribosomal RNA
Rfam family: Bacterial small subunit ribosomal RNA
Source: RNAcentral